CGCCUCCUGCAAAGAUCUAAGUAUAGGAGGUCCAGCCUGCCCAGUGACUAUGGGUUUAACGGCCGCGGUAUUUUGACCGUGCAAAGGUAGCGCAAUCACUUGUCUUUUAAAUGAAGACCCGUAUGAAUGGCUAAACGAGGGCUUAACUGUCUCCCCUUUCAAGUCAGUGAAAUUGAUCUAUCCGUGCAGAAGCGGGUAUAAAUAUACAAGACGAGAAGACCCUUUGGAGCUUAAGGUACAAACCCAAUCGCGUCAAACAACUUACUAAAGAGCACAAACUUAGCGCACCAUGGAAUUUUACCUUCGGUUGGGGCGACCACGGAGGAAAAAGCAGCCUCCGAGUGGACCGGGAGAAUAUCCUAAAGUUAAGAGGGACACCUCUAAACCACAGAACAUCUGACCAAAUAUGAUCCGUACACAAAGUACGAUCAACGAACCAAGUUACCCUAGGGAUAACAGCGCAAUCCUCUCCCAGAGUCCAUAUCGACGAGAGGGUUUACGACCUCGAUGUUGGAUCAGGACAUCCUAAUGGUGCAGCCGCUAUUAAGGGUUCGUUUGUUCAACGAUUAAAGUCCU
RNAcentral lists this ribosomal RNA (576 nucleotides) under Hypentelium nigricans (northern hog sucker). RNAcentral describes it as "partial large subunit ribosomal RNA". It matches the Rfam family "Bacterial large subunit ribosomal RNA", at positions 1816 to 2597 of the family's 2925-position model. The record is from RNAcentral. Lineage: Eukaryota; Metazoa; Chordata; Actinopteri; Cypriniformes; Catostomidae.